CGGCGGACGGGUGAGUAACGCGUGGGUAACCUGCCUCAUACAGGGGGAUAACAGUUAGAAAUGGCUGCUAAUACCGCAUAAGACCACAGUACUGCAUGGUACAGUGGUAAAAACUCCGGUGGUAUGAGAUGGACCCGCGUCUGAUUAGGUAGUUGGUGAGGUAACGGCCCACCAAGCCGACGGUCAGUAGCCGACCUGAGAGGGUGACCGGCCACAUUGGGACUGAGACACGGCCCAG
RNAcentral lists this ribosomal RNA (238 nucleotides) under uncultured bacterium. Its description in RNAcentral is "partial 16S ribosomal RNA". It matches the Rfam family "Bacterial small subunit ribosomal RNA", at positions 96 to 334 of the family's 1533-position model. The record is from RNAcentral.